RNAcentral lists this ribosomal RNA (276 nucleotides) under Triticum aestivum (bread wheat). Its description in RNAcentral is "partial small subunit ribosomal RNA". The record is from RNAcentral. Lineage: Eukaryota; Viridiplantae; Streptophyta; Magnoliopsida; Poales; Poaceae.
AUGCAGCUGUCAUCUUCUUCUCCGUCCUCGCUCGCAUGCGCUGUGGCAAUCAUCCUGGUGAUCAUGGUUUGCUGCUCCUUGCUGCCAUUUCCAUGCUCUGCCGUUUGCAAAGGUAUGCAGCCACACUGGGGCUGGGGAGAGGCCAACAGCCAGUGGGAGGAAACCAUUUUGAGAAGGAUUCCAUUUUGGUCAGGGGGAUCGGGAGGGCCCCGGGGGAGAAGGAAACAGGGGAGGAGGAAACCAAGUAGGACGGUCGCUUCAGGCGCCGCGGGGUAA